AUACGGAGGGUGCAAGCGUUACUCGGAAUCACUGGGCGUAAAGCGCGCGCAGGCGGUCUUUUGAGUUGGAUGUGAAAGCCUACGGCUCAACCGUAGAACUGCAUCCAAAACUAUUAGACUAGAGUGUGGGAGAGGAAGAUGGAAUUAGUUGUGUAGGGGUAAAAUCCGUAGAGAUAACUAGGAAUACCAAAAGCGAAGGCAAUCUUCUGGAACACUACGGACGCUGAGGCGCGAAAGCGUGGGGAGCAAGCGGGAUUAGAAACCCUAGUAGUCC
Molecule: ribosomal RNA, 274 nt
Filed under: uncultured bacterium
Lineage: Bacteria
Description: partial 16S ribosomal RNA
Rfam family: Bacterial small subunit ribosomal RNA
Source: RNAcentral